Molecule: non-coding RNA, 118 nt
Filed under: Aggregatibacter segnis
Lineage: Bacteria; Pseudomonadati; Pseudomonadota; Gammaproteobacteria; Pasteurellales; Pasteurellaceae
Also listed under: 1 other name
Description: Ribosomal S15 leader
Rfam family: Ribosomal S15 leader
About the family: The E. coli Ribosomal S15 gene 5' UTR can form two alternative structures.
Source: RNAcentral
GUCGUCGCUGAAUUAGAGAUCGGCGAACGAUGUAUCAUUAACCACUUCAUAUUAGGAGUUAUUAUGUCUCUAAGUACUGAACAAAAAGCAAAAAUCGUUGCUGAAUUUGGUCGCGAUG